GCAGCUCGCGAUCGGCGCCUGAAAGUUCGUGCCGUUAUCGCUAUACAAGCACGCCGGUGUCGCGCGUCGCGAGACAAAGCGCUGGAACGCGGCGAGGAAUGCGGCGGUCGAGUAGUCCGAAACCAACUCGAUAUGUAUCGCCCGGACGGUCAUGCAAACGAAUACGGCGAUGUACGCAUUAUGCGCCCUGCAGCCCCUACCAGAGCCGUAAC
RNAcentral lists this ribosomal RNA (212 nucleotides) under Strumigenys depressiceps. RNAcentral's name for it is "partial 28S ribosomal RNA". The record is from RNAcentral. Lineage: Eukaryota; Metazoa; Arthropoda; Insecta; Hymenoptera; Formicidae.